UACGAAGGGGGCUAGCGUUGCUCGGAAUCACUGGGCGUAAAGCGUGCGCAGGCGGUGAUGUAAGACAGGUGUGAAAUCCCCGGGCUUAACCUGGGAACUGCAUUUGUGACUGCAUCGCUGGAGUGCGGCAGAGGGGGAUGGAAUUCCGCGUGUAGCAGUGAAAUGCGUAGAUAUGCGGAGGAACACCGAUGGCGAAGGCAAUCCCCUGGACCUGUACUGACGCUCAUGCACGAAAGCGUGGGGAGCAAACAGG
RNAcentral lists this ribosomal RNA (253 nucleotides) under uncultured bacterium. RNAcentral describes it as "partial 16S ribosomal RNA". It matches the Rfam family "Bacterial small subunit ribosomal RNA", at positions 524 to 776 of the family's 1533-position model. The record is from RNAcentral.